GAACAGCGAGCUCUACCAAAGCAAGGUCUCCUUUGCGUCCUCAGACUGCCGACCAGUGCUGAGAACAGGGGCACUGAAUAUCUGUGAGCUGAGCGCAUCCAGCCAUCAACUGACUCACUCACUGAAGAACGCUACAUUCUGGGCAUAUCUUCCAUGACAGUCCAGCAGGGUAGCUGUUGGAAAUCCAAACAUGUCCACUCCUGCUUACGACCUCAGUCACCACCUCUUCAUAUGAUUCUUCCAUGGGCUGUUCCUGAGCACCUGAGGGAGAAAAACAAACAGAAACAAACAGGAAAGGGCAGAAUAAUUGAUAUGUGAGAAGGAGAAAGUCAACAGUUGUUGAGACAUAAGUGAAUGCUGGAGUACAGUGGCUCAAUCAUAGCUUGCUGUGACUUUGAACUCCUGGACUCAAUGGAUCCUCCCACUUCAGCCUCCCAAAUAGCUAGGACUAUAGCACCUGGUUCUUCUUGACAACUGCACAUUCUGCUACAUGCUGUGAUGACCAGGAGAGACAUUUAAAUUUUUAUUUGGAGGACUCACUUCCAACUUGGAACACAAGCUACAAAGGAAUUCCCUACCAGCGUGCCAGCACAUCAUUUGGAAGUUCAAGGUAUUCUUGCUCAACAGCUGCACACACAUUAAAAGUCCCUGGAGUACAUGGCGCCUGCUGCCUGGGGUUGGACUCUGUCGCUGGGGAUUCCAGAAAUUAGAGUAGAAUUCACAGCUCUGCCUCUCCACCUGCUGUGAGGUCUUCAAGUUACAACUCCGCCGCCUAUCAGGGCCCUCCGUGAUUAGUAAGGGAGAAAUUGUCAUAUUUUUCUCCCUAGAUCACAGGUCGGAGGAAGCAGUUUUCCCAAGAUUUUGUAAAAGUAGCUUUAUAAUUAAAAACAUUGAUUUUCCUAUUA
RNAcentral lists this non-coding RNA (905 nucleotides) under Pongo abelii (Sumatran orangutan). The record is from RNAcentral. Lineage: Eukaryota; Metazoa; Chordata; Mammalia; Primates; Hominidae.